Molecule: long non-coding RNA, 930 nt
Filed under: Citrus x clementina
Lineage: Eukaryota; Viridiplantae; Streptophyta; Magnoliopsida; Sapindales; Rutaceae
Description: Citrus clementina (C. clementina) long non-coding RNA (CCLE_LNC004321)
Source: RNAcentral
UUAGACACCUGCACAUUAGAUUCCUGGUUGUACAGUGGGACCCCGUCCUUGACCAAGCCGAAAGACAGACCUCUUUCGAUCCUUUGAUACCGACCAAUUGAAAGAGGUUGGAACGAUUCCUGUGUACUCUUCCCAUAAAAGCACAACAAUAAGGGGAAUAGCUCCUACUUUAGAGCUCUCGUACUUAGUGACGAGUUCGAGCCUUAGAAGCAUGCGAAGGGAUAGGUCUGAAAGAAGUCUUGUAUUAGUCCUUUAAUAGAGUCCCUAUUGUUUAAUAGGCGCUUUCCGGUAGCAGGGCGUUAAAAUAUCCAUAUCUUCUUACGUUCUGCUGCUCUUCACUAUUUCCCCGUCUCUCACUAUCAGGAUCAGUCGUCCCUAGCCCGCUCUCUGUGUUCGCGGACAGUCUUACUAUUACGCUCGUAUCUUACUCGUUUUCAAGUAUGUAACUCGUUUAUUCCGCAUGUAGCCCACGAAAAAUUGCGUCUUUUCAAAGAUCUCGGCAGUUUAGAAUGAUUCAUUCCAUCAAGAAUAGCUUAGUGAACCUUUCGAGCCAAGCACCUUUCCAAUAUCUAUGGUUAUGCUCGGGGGUCAGUUUCCUUUUUGCUGCUACUACUACUACAUCAGUCAAAUAGUUUGAAUGCCUAAUUAGAUGCGGUUUAGGCCAUUGGAUGGCAUUUCCAAGUGACAUGCUUCUUCCAAGUGAGAUGGCUUUCGAGAGGUCUAACUAAGGUACAAGGUACUCGACUCACUUUUCUUGUGCAGGUAUAGGAAGAUUCCUUAUUCCCUCCUUCUACGUAGCUUUUAUCAGGAAAAACAAAAAAGAAAAGCCCCUUCCCCUUAGUGGGUUCAUGUGCGGAUAGCUCUUUUCCGGUCUUUUUUUCUUUUCAAAAAAAAGGGGAAGCAACGCGGGCAGGCAGAACCUUUCUUCCC